UGAAACUGCGAAUGGCUCAUUAAAACAGUUAUUGUUUAUUUGAUAAUCAAAAGUUACAUGGAUAACCGUGACAAAUUACAGCUAAUACAUGCAUUCAGAUCUCUAUGAGGUUGUAAUUAUUAGUACUAAACCAAUUCCUUCGGGAAUGUGGUGAAUCAUAGUAAUCGAACGAAUCGCAGAAUUCUGCGAUAAAUCAUUCAAGUUUCUGCCCUAUUAGCUUUGGAUGGUAGUGUAUUGGACUACCAUGGCAAUCAUGGGUAACGGAGAAUUAGGGUUCGAUUCCGGAGAGGGAGCCUGAGAAAUGGCUACCACAUCUACGGAAGGCAGCAGGCGCGAAAAUUGCCCAAUCCUGAUUCAGGGUGGCAGUGACAAGAAAUAACAACUCUCAACUUUGUUGAGAAGUGUAAUGAGGAUAAUUUACAAACCUUACCGAAAGCAAUUGGAGGGCAAGUCUGGUGCCAGCAGCCGCGGUAAUUCCAGCUCCAAAAGCGUAUAUUAAAAUUGUUGCAGUUAAAGAGCUCGUAGUUGAAGUUCUGGCUGUAUUGGGCCCCAGCAGUCAAUGUAGGGGAACCAGCCAGUCAUCCGCUUGCAAAUACAUG
Molecule: ribosomal RNA, 599 nt
Filed under: uncultured eukaryote
Lineage: Eukaryota
Description: SSU rRNA
Rfam family: Eukaryotic small subunit ribosomal RNA
Source: RNAcentral